This is a small nucleolar RNA of Saccharomyces kudriavzevii IFO 1802, 92 nucleotides long. Lineage: Eukaryota; Fungi; Ascomycota; Saccharomycetes; Saccharomycetales; Saccharomycetaceae. The record is from Rfam.
UUACAAUGAUGAUAAAACUUACUUUUCAGUUCUGCUUCUGAACCAAAAUAAUAGGAAGAUAACCAACUUUUACCAAAGCUCAAAUCUGAUUU